GGCGAACGCUGGCGGCGUGCCUAAUACAUGCAAGUCGAGCGGACGAAUCGAAAGCUUGCUUUUGAUUCGUUAGCGGCGGACGGGUGAGUAACACGUGGGCAACCUGCCCUGUAGACGGGGAUAACACCGAGAAAUCGGUGCUAAUACCGGAUAACACGAAAUGUCGCAUGACGUUUCGUUGAAAGACGGCGCAAGCUGUCGCUACAGGAUGGGCCCGCGGCGCAUUAGCUAGUUGGUGAGGUAACGGCUCACCAAGGCGACGAUGCGUAGCCGACCUGAGAGGGUGAUCGGCCACACUGGGACUGAGACACGGCCCAGACUCCUACGGGAGGCAGCAGUAGGGAAUCUUCCGCAAUGGACGAAAGUCUGACGGAGCAACGCCGCGUGAGCGAAGAGGGCCUUCGGGUCGUAAAGCUCUGUUGUUAGGGAAGAACAAGUAACGCAGUAACUGGCGUUACCGUGACGGUACCUAACGAGAAAGCCACGGCUAACUACGUG
RNAcentral lists this ribosomal RNA (498 nucleotides) under uncultured bacterium. RNAcentral's name for it is "partial 16S ribosomal RNA". It matches the Rfam family "Bacterial small subunit ribosomal RNA", at positions 28 to 507 of the family's 1533-position model. The record is from RNAcentral.